Molecule: ribosomal RNA, 466 nt
Filed under: uncultured bacterium
Lineage: Bacteria
Description: partial 16S ribosomal RNA
Rfam family: Bacterial small subunit ribosomal RNA
Source: RNAcentral
GACGAACGCUGGCGGCGUGCUUAACACAUGCAAGUCGAACGGAAAGGCCCUGCUUGCGGGGUACUCGAGUGGCGAACGGGUGAGUAACACGUGGGUGAUCUGCCCUGCACUUCGGGAUAAGCUUGGGAAACUGGGUCUAAUACCGGAUAGGAGCCAUCUUUAGUGUGGUGGUUGGAAAGUUUUUUCGGUGUAGGACGAGCUCGCGGCCUAUCAGCUUGUUGGUGGAGUAAUGGCCUACCAAGGCGGCGACGGGUAGCCGGCCUGAGAGGGUGUACGGCCACAUUGGGACUGAGAUACGGCCCAGACUCCUACGGGAGGCAGCAGUGGGGAAUAUUGAACAAUGGGCGCAAGCCUGAUGCAGCGACGCCGCGUGGGGGAUGAAGGCCUUCGGGUUGUAAACUCCUUUCGCUAGGGACGAAGCUUUUUUGUGACGGUACCUAGAUAAGAAGCACCGGCUAACUACGUG